GAUCAUGGCUCAGGACGAACGCUGGCGGCGUGCCUAACACAUGCAAGUCGAGCGGAGACAGGGAGUAGCUUGCUAUGAACUGUUUUAGCGGCGGACGGGUGAGUAACGCGUGAGCAACCUUUCCCAGACAGGGGAAUAACACACCGAAAGGUGUACUAAUACCGCAUAAGACCACGGUUUCACAUGGAACUGAGGUAAAAGAUUUAUCGGUUUGGGGUGGGCUCGCGUCCGAUUAGGUAGUUGGUGAGGUAACGG
This 255-nucleotide ribosomal RNA is filed under the name uncultured bacterium. RNAcentral's name for it is "partial 16S ribosomal RNA". It matches the Rfam family "Bacterial small subunit ribosomal RNA", at positions 15 to 263 of the family's 1533-position model. The record is from RNAcentral.